GUGUCAGCCGCCGCGGUAAUACAGAGGUGGCAAGCGUUGUUCGGAAUUACUGGGCGUAAAGGGCGCGUAGGCGGCCUUGUAAGUCCCGUGUGAAAGCCCCCGGCUCAACUGGGGAAUUGCACGGGAAACUGCGGGGCUUGAGUUCGGGAGAGGGAAGCGGAAUUCCGGGUGUAGCGGUGAAAUGCGUAGAUAUCCGGAGGAACACCAGUGGCGAAGGCGGCUUCCUGGACCGACACUGACGCUGAGGCGCGAAAGCUAGGGGAGCAAACGGGAUUAGAAACCCGCGUAGUCC
RNAcentral lists this ribosomal RNA (292 nucleotides) under uncultured bacterium. RNAcentral describes it as "partial 16S ribosomal RNA". It matches the Rfam family "Bacterial small subunit ribosomal RNA", at positions 505 to 796 of the family's 1533-position model. The record is from RNAcentral.